This 500-nucleotide ribosomal RNA is filed under the name uncultured Glomeromycotina. RNAcentral describes it as "partial small subunit ribosomal RNA". It matches the Rfam family "Eukaryotic small subunit ribosomal RNA", at positions 591 to 1092 of the family's 1831-position model. Lineage: Eukaryota; Fungi; Glomeromycota. The record is from RNAcentral.
CCAAUAGCGUAUAUUAAAGUUGUUGCAGUUAAAAAGCUCGUAGUUGAAUUUCGGGACUGACAGGUUGGUCGCGCCUUCGGUGUGUACUGGCCUAGUCGGUUUCUCCCUUCUGACGAACCACGAUGUCAUUAAUUUGGUGUCGUGGGGAAUCAGGACUGUUACUUUGAAAAAAUUAGAGUGUUUAAAGCAGGCUUAGGCUUGAAUACAUUAGCAUGGAAUAAUGAAAUAGGACGUUUGAUCCUAUUUUGUUGGUUUCUAGGAUCGACGUAAUGAUUAAUAGGGAUAGUUGGGGGCAUUAGUAUUCAAUUGUCAGAGGUGAAAUUCUUGGAUUUAUUGAAGACUAACUACUGCGAAAGCAUUUGCCAAGGAUGUUUUCAUUAAUCAAGAACGAAAGUUAGGGGAUCGAAGACGAUCAGAUACCGUCGUAGUCUUAACCAUAAACUAUGCCGACUAGGGAUCGGAUGAUGUUAAUUUUAUAAUGACUCAUUCGGCGCCUUACG